Molecule: ribosomal RNA, 497 nt
Filed under: uncultured bacterium
Lineage: Bacteria
Description: partial 16S ribosomal RNA
Rfam family: Bacterial small subunit ribosomal RNA
Source: RNAcentral
GAUGAACGCUGGCGGCGUGCCUAAUACAUGCGAGUCGAGCGAACGGACGAGAAGCUUGCUUCUCUGAUGUUAGCGGCGGACGGGUGAGUAACACGUGGAUAACCUACCUAUAAGACUGGGAUAACUUCGGGAAACCGGAGCUAAUACCGGAUAAUAUUUUGAACCGCAUGGCCCAAAAGUGAAAGACGGUCUUGCUGUCACUUAUAGAUGGAUCCGCGCUGCAUUAGCUAGUUGGUAAGGUAACGGCUUACCAAGGCAACGAUGCAUAGCCGACCUGAGAGGGUGAUCGGCCACACUGGAACUGAGACACGGUCCAGACUCCUACGGGAGGCAGCAGUAGGGAAUCUUCCGCAAUGGGCGAAAGCCUGACGGAGCAACGCCGCGUGAGUGAUGAAGGUCUUCGGAUCGUAAAACUCUGUUAUUAGGGAAGAACAUAUGUGUAAGUAACUGUGCACAUCUUGACGGUACCUAAUCAGAAAGCCACGGCUAACUACGUG